This 498-nucleotide ribosomal RNA is filed under the name uncultured bacterium. RNAcentral describes it as "partial 16S ribosomal RNA". It matches the Rfam family "Bacterial small subunit ribosomal RNA", at positions 29 to 523 of the family's 1533-position model. The record is from RNAcentral.
AUUGAACGCUGGCGGCAUGCUUUACACAUGCUAGUCGAACGGUAACGCGGGGCAACCUGGCGACGAGUGGCGAACGGGUGAGUAAUGCAUCGGAACGUGCCCGGUAGUGGGGGAUAACUGCUCGAAAGAGCAGCUAAUACCGCAUACGACCUGAGGGUGAAAGGGGGGGAUCGCAAGACCUCUCGCUAUUGGAGCGGCCGAUGUCGGAUUAGCAAGUUGGUGGGGUAAGGGCCCACCAAGGCGACGAUCCGUAGCUGGUCUGAGAGGACGACCAACCACACUGGGACUGAGACACCGCCCAGACUCCUACGGGAGGCAGCAGUGGGGAAUUUUGGACAAUGGACGCAAGUCUGAUCCAGCCAUGCCGCGUGCGGGAAGAAGGCCUUCGGGUUGUAAACCGCUUUUGUCAGAGAAGAAAUCUUCUGGGUUAAUACCUCGGGAGGAUGACGGUAUCUGAAGGAUAAGCACCGGCUAACUACGUGCCAGCAGCCGCGGUAA